Molecule: non-coding RNA, 71 nt
Organism: Dermacentor silvarum
Lineage: Eukaryota; Metazoa; Arthropoda; Arachnida; Ixodida; Ixodidae
Source: the annotation of a RefSeq genome assembly
UCCGGCAUGGUCUAGUGGUUAGGAUACCUGGCUAUGACCCAGGAGCCCUGGUUCACUUCCAGGUGUCGGAA